UACGAAGGGAGCUAGCGUUGUUCGGAAUCACUGGGCGUAAAGCGCACGUAGGCGGAUGUGUCGGUCAGGGGUGAAAUCCCGGAGCUCAACUUCGGAACUGCCUUUGAUACAGCACGUCUUGAGUCCGAUAGAGGUGGGUGGAAUUCCUAGUGUAGAGGUGAAAUUCGUAGAUAUUAGGAAGAACACCGGUGGCGAAGGCGGCCCACUGGAUCGGUACUGACGCUGAGGUGCGAAAGCGUGGGGAGCAAACAGG
RNAcentral lists this ribosomal RNA (253 nucleotides) under uncultured bacterium. RNAcentral describes it as "partial 16S ribosomal RNA". It matches the Rfam family "Bacterial small subunit ribosomal RNA", at positions 524 to 776 of the family's 1533-position model. The record is from RNAcentral.